Molecule: ribosomal RNA, 407 nt
Filed under: uncultured bacterium
Lineage: Bacteria
Description: partial 16S ribosomal RNA
Rfam family: Bacterial small subunit ribosomal RNA
Source: RNAcentral
GACGAACGCUGGCGGCGUGCCUAAUACAUGCAAGUAGAACGCAGUUGCGAACGGGUGAGUAACGCGUAGGUAACGGCCUCAUAGCGGGGGAUAACUAUUGGAAACGAUAGCUAAUACCUCAUACUGUGAGAUGGACCUGCGUUGUAUUAGCUAGUUGGUGAGGUAAAGGCUCACGAAGGCGACGAUACAUAGCCGAACUGAGAGGGUGAUCGGCCAACCUGGGACUUAGAAACGGCCCAGACUCCUACGGGAGGCAGCCGUAAGGAAACUUCGGGAAUGGACGGAAGUUAGACCGGGCAAAGCCGCGGGAGUGAAGAAGGUUUUCGGAUGUUAAAGCUCUGUUGUUUGAGAAGCGGUAUCUAACCAGAAAGGGACGGCUAACUACGUGCCAGCAGCCGCGGUAAUAC